This 253-nucleotide ribosomal RNA is filed under the name uncultured bacterium. RNAcentral's name for it is "partial 16S ribosomal RNA". It matches the Rfam family "Bacterial small subunit ribosomal RNA", at positions 524 to 776 of the family's 1533-position model. The record is from RNAcentral.
UACAGGGGGUGCAAACGUUGCUCGGAAUUAUUGGGCGUAAAGCGCGCGUAGGCGGCUACUUAAGUCGGAUGUGAAAGCCCUUGGCUCAACUGAGGAAGUGCACCCGAAACUGAGUGGCUUGAGUACGAAAGAGGGUCGCGGAAUUCCCGGUGUAGAGGUGAAAUUCGUAGAUAUCGGGAGGAACACCGGUGGCGAAGGCGGCGACCUGGGUCGAUACUGACGCUGAGGUGCGAAAGCGUGGGGAGCAAACAGG